Molecule: non-coding RNA, 6312 nt
Organism: Anas platyrhynchos (mallard)
Lineage: Eukaryota; Metazoa; Chordata; Aves; Anseriformes; Anatidae
Source: RefSeq, a predicted model, not a curated record
AUUUGCAAUUCAAAUCAUUUUCUGAACUACAAAGUCAGACUUUUUCCUAACCUGCCUGCAGCAAUGUGGGGACCCUUGUCAAUGUUUCUUCACAACAAAAAGCACCCAGCUGAUGCUGGGAGUCAUUUGAAAUCUGCAGUUUUCACCUGAAGGCCUUAGGAUUAAAAAUAGCAGCUCUGUUUUCCUUGACACACAUCACAGGACACAACUCUCUAGUGGUCACCCUCAGAAUCGCCACCAGUACAAAAGGGGAGGAGAUGGUUCCCAGAUGAUCGGGCAGCACUGGGCUCCCCAUAGGGUGGUUGGGACCCUUGCUCCCACCCGUGCUGUCCCGGGCUGAGCACUGUGGCUGAGCAAGGGCUAUGAAUGGGACUGCUCGGGCUGCAGCUUGCACUGCACCAUUGGGGCGUGAAGCAGCAGCCCCAGAGGGCAGCAGAGGCUCCCUGAAGAGGAAUAUCUCCUAACAGCCAUCCUAAUUCUCCUGUCCUGCUAUUUUUGUCUGAUUCCCAGCAGAUAAGGAAAGCAAGCCCUUAGUCCUCUACAGGAGCCUUUUUUGGAACUGAAAACUGUCAUCCUCAUUCCUACUCUUUUCCAUUUCCAUGAGUGAAUGGAACCCCUUCUCUCCAUCUCUCCUUAGAGGCUGUCUCUACAUCUCUGGUCACUCCUGUUGCUGCCCUCUGGGCUCUUGCCAGCUGAGCCCCAUCAUUCUUGAUGACCAGUGCCCAAAAUUGGAUGCAGGAUAACAGCUGAGCCUUUAGCAACAGGAGAGGGAAGGUUUACUUCAUGUGUCUUACAUACAACUCUGCUGUUUAUAAAUUCCAGCAAGAUAGCUGAAAAAAAAAAAUAAUAAAGGCAAAUACAAUGUCCUGGCAACCCUUGAGAUUUGGGUACCAUGGAGAUGAGGACCUUGUAAGUACACAGACAGAGGCGUGGAUGAAAUGCAGGCUUUGACCAGUCAGACAAAGGGAAGUGAGCCUGGGUGAGCAGCACAAGGAGCACACUGCUGCUGGUCUGCAUGCAAGCCAGUGAACACAUUGGGAGCUAUGUGGUCAUCUCCUCUGGGGACAUGCCAGGUGUGGUUGGUGUUGCUGGUGACUCCCAGCCCAUGGGGGCUCCAAGCAACCCACAAACUGAGGGGGUGUGAGCCUUCCUGCUGCUUAGCUUGGCUUCCAGUGCCUGCAGCUGUAGGCAUGCCUACUCAGGCUGUUCUCCAUUGCUUUCCACCUCUGGAGGAAAAAGCUUUCUGUGAAAGGAUGAGCUGUGUUUUUUGUCUCCCCUUCAGCCCAAGCACCAGGCAAGAGGCCAGUGACUUCUGCAGAGUUGGGCUCUGUCGAGGAGACAGCAGGAGGCGAGCGGAGCAUCCUGGUGGUGGCUGGAAUCCCUGUCACCAUAGCGACUGGAGGAAUCCUUAAAUAUAGAUGUGGUUCUUCCCCAUACCCUUGCUGUCCUUUCAUCUGUAACACAGCAACAAACGGGCUUGGCUUCCUUCUGCAUGCAACCUGAUGGAGCCCCGAAGGCCAGAAAUGUGCCGGCUUUAUGGUUUUAUAAGCCCUGCUACGUGCAGUGUUUGAGGCAGAGACCCACUGAUAGUGGGUUGGGUCCUGCGCCAUUCACAGCUCUGUGGGUGGGCUCCAAGUACUGGUUGAGCUCGGUGAAAAUCCUCAGAUGGGUUGGACUGGAAUAAAGAAUCCACUAGCAAGGCUGGAAAUCACUUAAUUCCUGCAGCUCCUGGAGGAGAUGCCCCAUUUUUGCAGCAAAGGCUAGGGAUGAAGUGAGUAUCCUGGUUGUUGUGUGGCCCCAGCUGGGCUCCCCAUGCCGGCACGCUGUGCAGGAAGGUCAUGCUCAUGCUUUCCAGGCUGUUCCUGCAGGGCAGAGAUGUCUCUUACCAGGGCUGCCAGCCACUGCUGCCCCUGGUGUUGAGGUCUGUGACUUCCUUCUGUGGCUGUGAACCAGAGCUCCUGACUUUCCCAGCAUGAAAUGGGUUCUCUCCUGACAAUGCUGUGCUGAUGGGAAAUGUUUUAGGGGCUUUGUGGUCUUUCACAGGCUGUAAGUAUACACCCGAAGAGGUUUCUGGGAGGAGACGGCACUGUUUUGAGCAGUAAGGAGGGGCUGAGAUCUAGCUCUUGGAAGCUGAAGCUAGUCCAAAUGAGACCAGCACUAAAUGUCCAUGUUAACAGCCUCGUUAACCACUUGAUUGGUGAACUGAGAACACUCAUGUUAUCAUGAAGUCCAAGUUAUUACAGGGGAUAGAAAGGACAUCAGCUGCUCCCUGCUGCCAGCCUGGGAGCUGCAGCAACUCUGCAUGUGCCCUGGGUCGCACUCUGCUGCCGGGAGAGCUCUGCCUGCUCUGUGCUGGGACACAUCCCCAUUGUUUUUACUGGUUUCCCUUUUUUUUUUUUUUUUUUCCCUUUGUAAAUGCUGUGUAGAGGACUGUUACCUCUGGGAUCUUUCUUCCUGUGACACCCUGCUGCUGUCCCAUCUCCCUGAGCACCAGCAGAGUGCAAAGGGUCAAUGAAUGUGUGCUGUGUGCCACGCAGGAGCUGCUUGCACCAGCACCGGACCAAAGGGCUGGGCCAGGACAUUGCUGCCAUCAGGAAUUUAAACCCAACAGAUUCCUUGGUGUGAAUGGUGCAGGGAAAGCAGAUCUCUAGGCAAGAGGAGCGUCUCAGUACCGCAGCAUGCCGUGGGAAACAGGAGCGAGCGUGCGUGCUGCAGAGGCACAGGCAGGCAGGAGCACCCUGCAGUGUGCAGUGAGCCUGCGGAGCGAUGCCCUCAUCCUGCUGCAAUUUGUGUGCACCCAGCCAAGGGGCAUCUCCUGUGCACCCACCCGAACCUCCUUUGCCCUCCUCCACAGUGCUGAACCCCCUUAGGCUGGGCAAAAUCACUGUCUAUAAAACUGACCGAGUGCCUUUGGUGUCUCCAGUGUGUGAUUACACACCAAAACUACCUGUUAAGGUUGUUCAUUCCUCGGCGUUCUGCACAGGUUCUUUUAGAAAUUCACACUUCUUAAUUAAAUAUGGGGUUUUACGCCAUAGAUUAGGAACCAGAGUCCCCAAACUACAGGAAUUAUUUACUGGUGCAAUGUAGUGGGAAAGCUCCCAGGUUCCUGACUUUGCUGUAGCAUAGUUUCAUUCUGUUAGCUAAACUGUUGUAAUUUCAUUGUUAGCUUAUUAUAUUAGAAGGGUAUUCGGACCACAAAACCAAGUGACUGAUUGAUCUGAUUUGCUGAAUUUAAGGUUUUCCCAUAAAAUCCUAGUUCUUCUCCUUUGUUCCUCUGUGAAGAAGUGCAAUCUGGAUCAAGUUUCUUUUUUUCUUUUCUUUUUAUUUUUUUUUCCCUCUUAAUAACAGUCCUGUCUCUGUUAAUAUUGGAUACUUUUCUCUUGAUUCAGUCACUGAAAAUGGCUAAUUUUCCUGAGAUUGUCUUUGAUUCCUACUUAGAGCCCAAUAAUCAGCAUGGAAAAUUCCAACCUGAGCAGUGUUAAUUGUGACAAAACCUGAGUACAAAAGAACUCUGGUGCAUCAGGCAUCAGAUGCACCUGUUAAAUGCAGCCGUAGGAGGCUGCUCUUGUAAACCAGCUGUUUUCUGUUCUCAGAUUUAUUUUCCUCCUGUUGACCUCUUCUGAUUUGGAGCAGAAAGACCUGAGGUUACAAAUCCUAGGUUUUAACAACGGAAGAUUUGUCUUUGGGACGUUACAGCCAGAAAAGGAUAUCAUGGCUAAACAUGAAUUGAAAACUCAGUAAAACAUCACGGACUUGCCUUUCAUUAGCUGGUCAUCUUCUGCUUCUCUGUAAGGUUGUUCACAAUUGCUACAGGGCUGGCUUCAAACCCAACAAGUGCACUGAUCAGUCCGUUGGGGUGGAGAACUGGCAGCAGAAAAUGGCACUCAGAAUGCCAGUGCUGUACGCCUGCUGUGAAGCUGUGAACCUGCAGCUUCAGUGCUGCAUGGCACUGGGUGCCUGGGGGCCCCAGGAUCCUUUCUAGGAACUGAACAUCGGGUGUGCCAAAGUGAGCUGCAUCACAGAGACACAUUUCAGGGGAAAAAGUAGCUGUCAGGAAGAUUGAUGCUUUAAGAACAGACAGCAAGGGCUGCUAUUCACAGUGCUGAUUCUGACUGCAGCAAGAACUCUGGAGCACACCAAAAAAUGCAGCACUCCCUCUGGGCACACACAGAUGCAAGUGGCAGGCUUGCAUUCCUGGGGGCUAUUAGCUUCUCUAAGUGGGACAGCAGCUGCUGGCAGCCUGGGCGUUUCCUCUUGGAGGCAGCACGAACCCUGGGGACUUGCUCAGCUCCUUGAGCUGCUGCUAUCCAUGGCUGUUGGUACACAGCAGCAAAGCACAGGGCAGGGAAGGACUAUGCAGCCACAUGUGGAACCCCAAAAACCAGUGCACUUUUAACCAGAGACAGGUCUGGACAAGAGAACCACCUUCUCAUUUCUGGGCAAAGGAGCCCAAGGAAACUGGUGAGAGCAUCUCCACCUUCCUGGCAUCCCCCAUCACACAGGGUGAUACAGAAGGUGCAGAUGAGUCCUGCUGAACAUCCCUCCAGGCCUGGUGAGAAUACAGGUGGUGACUUCCAGCCAGAUCCUCUGCCCUCCUCGCAGAAGGAAGCUAAUGGGUUCUGUAGGAAAGCUGCACUGCAAUUGCUUUUUGCAACAAACAAACAAACAAACAAACAAAGCAUUCACCAAAACUCUUAAUUCUGCGUUAUCAUGAGGAGAUUGGACAACAAAAUGUUUUUCACAGCACUCCAUUGCUAGGAGAUCAGAGAUGACAGUAAAUCUCCGUUUCUAAACCACUCUACUUUUUAGAUAUUUAAUCACCCUGAAAAACGACUUUCUCAACAGAGCAGGGAUGUUUUAUUAAAGGUUUUGCUGCAAGGCUCUGGGGAGUGCUGGUACCUAAAUUCGAAGACAAUGAAUGAGAUUCUCCUUAUGCUGAAGGUGUUGAGCAGGGGUCUCUGCUCUCUGGACAAAUUCUCAUUGUUGGGGUAUUUAAAAAAAAAUAAAAUAAUUAAGAAUCUGCUUUACUCUCUAUUUCCAGCUGAAAAACAACUUGAACAGUAAACAAAGCAUCAAAAGAAGAAUCACAAGAAAUUGCCUUUAAGAAAGGGCCCGUGGCUGCAAACCCCGAGGGGGAGAAGAAACCUCCCUGCAUCCUCAGUGAGGGGCCAUGCAAGCAUCAAGAAAGGUGAUCCUAAGAGCUCCAUCCUCAGCAUUUUCUCCCCAUCAACUCCAGAUAAUGCCUUGUUCUACUGCUGGCACUUCCCUGUCCUGUGGCCAGUCCCAAAACAUGGACCUGCAGUACCUUCCAUCGAGCAUUGCGGCUCCGCUCAGCACCCUCCUCUCCCCCUGAGUCUCAGGGAACAGAGCUGCACUUUCAGUGUGAUAUCGCAGUUUUCAUGUUGUAAGCUUACCUCCUGUUUGUUCUGUCUGGUUGGGAGCUUUGGGUGUUAUUCCCCUGCAGCACUCGUGCCUACAGCAGAAGGGAAGGUUUAGAAGAGCUCAUUGCAAUUCAUGGGGAGUGGUGCAGUCCCAUGUGAAGAAGUUUAAUCCAAGCCAGCCUUCGAGAAUGGUUUAUUGCAGCCUUCUGUAUCACCCACAAACACUGCAGGGAAAAACAGGGAAGGAGAACAGUGUUAGAUAAGCUGCUUUAAAACGAUCUUCGUAAUCCUGCAAAUUAAAAUGUAUUUUAUUAAAUAUGCAUUACAGAUGCAAAAUAACCCAAGAAAGGCUGGAAGUGACCCUCCCCACAGGCAAUUCAUGGUACUCCUGCAGCUGCAACUGGCUGUCACCGAAAUGGCAGCUCUCUGGAGCUCAAGGAGCCAGCCCUCGGUGGCACGAGAAGCCCAGCCUUGCCUGGGGGACCUGCCCAGGGUAGCCUGUCCCACUGGCACAAGCCAUAUCAUUAAUACUUGCUUGAAAUCAGAUGUGAGGGCCAUCCCCUGUGUUACUUUGCAGCCACAGACAUGGGGCUUUCCAACCUCCUUGCAGCUCCAGCAUUUGUUGCUGUCGGGUGGCACAACAGGAAGGAAGAGGAGAAAUGAGAACAGGGAAUGGCCAAGAAGGGCUGGCAUCAUGCAGGGUUUUCAAAACUUGCCCAUUUGCUGCAAGUUCUUCAUAAAAGAUGAACAAGAAAAAGCUUAAAAUAUUGAGUAACACCAUCAGCUUUAUUCUUGCCGAGGUACCUGAGUCUCUGCCGAGAAGUGUGCCCCCCCCAUCAGCUGCACGUGGCAGCGAGGAGGCAAAGCAUCUUGGCCACGAUCACUGAAGGAUCUCUCCUAGGAUUUAGAGUACAUUUGGCUGCUCAUUCAU